AUUGAACGCUGGCGGAAUGCUUUACACAUGCAAGUCGAACGGCAGCACGGACUUCGGUCUGGUGGCGAGUGGCGAACGGGUGAGUAAUACAUCGGAACGUGCCCAGUCGUGGGGGAUAACGUAGCGAAAGCUACGCUAAUACCGCAUACGAUCUAAGGAUGAAAGCGGGGGAUCGCAAGACCUCGCGCGAUUGGAGCGGCCGAUGGCAGAUUAGGGAGUUGGUAGGGUAAAGGCCUACCAAGCCGACGAUCUGUAGCUGGUCUGAGAGGAUGAUCAGCCACACUGGGACUGAGACACGGCCCAGACUCCUACGGGAGGCAGCAGUGGGGAAUUUUGGACAAUGGGCGCAAGCCUGAUCCAGCCAUUCCGCGUGCAGGAUGAAGGCCUUCGGGUUGUAAACUGCUUUUGUACAGAACGAAAAGGCUCUGGUUAAUACCCGGGGCUCAUGACGGUACUGUAAGAAUGAGCACCGGCUAACUACGUGCCAGCCGCCGCCGUAA
RNAcentral lists this ribosomal RNA (500 nucleotides) under uncultured bacterium. Its description in RNAcentral is "partial 16S ribosomal RNA". It matches the Rfam family "Bacterial small subunit ribosomal RNA", at positions 30 to 523 of the family's 1533-position model. The record is from RNAcentral.